UUCCUGGUGGCUCAGCAGUAAAGAAUCUGCCUGCGAUGCAGGAGACCCAGGUUCGAUCCCUGGGUAGGGAA
This 71-nucleotide transfer RNA is filed under the name Ovis aries (sheep). It matches the Rfam family "tRNA". From Rfam's summary of the family: Transfer RNA (tRNA) molecules are approximately 80 nucleotides in length. Their secondary structure includes four short double-helical elements and three loops (D, anti-codon, and T loops). Further hydrogen bonds mediate the characteristic L-shaped molecular structure. tRNAs have two regions of fundamental functional importance: the anti-codon, which is responsible for specific mRNA codon recognition, and the 3' end, to which the tRNAs corresponding amino acid is attached (by aminoacyl-tRNA synthetases). tRNAs cope with the degeneracy of the genetic code in two manners: having more than one tRNA (with a specific anti-codon) for a particular amino acid; and 'wobble' base-pairing, i.e. permitting non-standard base-pairing at the 3rd anti-codon position. Lineage: Eukaryota; Metazoa; Chordata; Mammalia; Artiodactyla; Bovidae. The record is from Rfam by way of RNAcentral.